UUAAGCGACUAAGCGUACACGGUGGAUGCCCUGGCAGUCAGAGGCGAUGAAGGACGUGCUAAUCUGCGAAAAGCGCCGGCGAGGUGAUAUGAACCUUUGACCCGGCGAUGUCCGAAUGGGGAAACCCAGUGCAAUCCGUUGCACUAUCGUUAACUGAAUACAUAGGUUAACGAGGCGAACCGGGGGAACUGAAACAUCUAAGUACCCCGAGGAAAAGAAAUCAACCGAGAUUCCCCCAGUAGCGGCGAGCGAACGGGGAGCAGCCCGGAGUCUGAAUCAGCUUGUGUGUUAGUGGAACGGUCUGGAAAGUCCGACGGUACAGGGUGAUAGUCCCGUACACGAAAGCACACAUGCUGUGAACUCGAAGAGUAGGGCGGGACACGUGGUAUCCUGUCUGAAUAUGGGGGGACCAUCCUCCAAGGCUAAAUACUCCUGACUGACCGAUAGUGAACCAGUACCGUGAGGGAAAGGCGAAAAGAACCCCGGCGAGGGGAGUGAAAAAGAACCUGAAACCGUGUACGUACAAGCAGUGGGAGCCUCUUUAUGGGGUGACUGCGUACCUUUUGUAUAAUGGGUCAGCGACUUAUAUUCUGUAGCAAGGUUAACCGUAUAGGGGAGCCGAAGGGAAACCGAGUCUUAACUGGGCGUUAAGUUGCAGGGUAUAGACCCGAAACCCGGUGAUCUAGCCAUGGGCAGGUUGAAGGUUGGGUAACACUAACUGGAGGACCGAACCGACUAAUGUUGAAAAAUUAGCGGAUGACCUGUGGCUGGGGGUGAAAGGCCAAUCAAACCGGGAGAUAGCUGGUUCUCCCCGAAAGCUAUUUAGGUAGCGCCUCGUGAACUCAUCUUCGGGGGUAGAGCACUGUUUCGGCUAGGGGGCCAUCCCGGCUUACCAACCCGAUGCAAACUACGAAUACCGAAGAAUGUUAUCACGGGAGACACACGGCGGGUGCUAACGUCCGUCGUGAAGAGGGAAACAACCCAGACCGCCAGCUAAGGUCCCAAAGUCAUGGUUAAGUGGGAAACGAUGUGGGAAGGCACAGACAGCCAGGAUGUUGGCUUAGAAGCAGCCAUCAUUUAAAGAAAGCGUAAUAGCUCACUGGUCGAGUCGGCCUGCGCGGAAGAUGUAACGGGGCUAAACCAUGCACCGAAGCUGCGGCAGCGACACUAUGUGUUGUUGGGUAGGGGAGCGUUCUGUAAGCCGUUGAAGGUGUCCUGUGAGGGGUGCUGGAGGUAUCAGAAGUGCGAAUGCUGACAUAAGUAACGAUAAAGCGGGUGAAAAGCCCGCUCGCCGGAAGACCAAGGGUUCCUGUCCAACGUUAAUCGGGGCAGGGUGAGUCGACCCCUAAGGCGAGGCCGAAAGGCGUAGUCGAUGGGAAACAGGUUAAUAUUCCUGUACUUGGUGUUACUGCGAAGGGGGGACGGAGAAGGCUAUGUCAGCCGGGCGACGGUUGUCCCGGUUUAAGCAUGUAGGCGGAGGUUCCAGGUAAAUCCGGUACCUUGUUAACGCUGAGGUGUGAUGACGAGGCACUACGGUGCUGAAGUGAUAAAUGCCCUGCUUCCAGGAAAAGCCUCUAAGCAUCAGGUAACACGAAAUCGUACCCCAAACCGACACAGGUGGUCAGGUAGAGAAUACCAAGGCGCUUGAGAGAACUCGGGUGAAGGAACUAGGCAAAAUGGUGCCGUAACUUCGGGAGAAGGCACGCUGAUGUGUAGGUGAAGUCCCUGCGGACGGAGCUGAAAUCAGUCGAAGAUACCAGCUGGCUGCAACUGUUUAUUAAAAACACAGCACUGUGCAAACACGAAAGUGGACGUAUACGGUGUGACGCCUGCCCGGUGCCGGAAGGUUAAUUGAUGGGGUUAGCGGCAACGCGAAGCUCUUGAUCGAAGCCCCGGUAAACGGCGGCCGUAACUAUAACGGUCCUAAGGUAGCGAAAUUCCUUGUCGGGUAAGUUCCGACCUGCACGAAUGGCGUAAUGAUGGCCAGGCUGUCUCCACCCGAGACUCAGUGAAAUUGAACUCGCUGUGAAGAUGCAGUGUACCCGCGGCAAGACGGAAAGACCCCGUGAACCUUUACUAUAGCUUGACACUGAACACUGGUCCUUGAUGUGUAGGAUAGGUGGGAGGCUUUGAAGCGUGGACGCCAGUCUGCGUGGAGCCAACCUUGAAAUACCACCCUUUAAUGGCUGGUGUUCUAACGUAGACCCGUAAUCCGGGUUGCGGACAGUGUCUGGUGGGUAGUUUGACUGGGGCGGUCUCCUCCCAAAGAGUAACGGAGGAGCACGAAGGUUGGCUAAUCCUGGUCGGACAUCAGGAGGUUAGUGCAAUGGCAUAAGCCAGCUUGACUGCGAGCGUGACGGCGCGAGCAGGUGCGAAAGCAGGUCAUAGUGAUCCGGUGGUUCUGAAUGGAAGGGCCAUCGCUCAACGGAUAAAAGGUACUCCGGGGAUAACAGGCUGAUACCGCCCAAGAGUUCAUAUCGACGGCGGUGUUUGGCACCUCGAUGUCGGCUCAUCACAUCCUGGGGCUGAAGUAGGUCCCAAGGGUAUGGCUGUUCGCCAUUUAAAGUGGUACGCGAGCUGGGUUUAGAACGUCGUGAGACAGUUCGGUCCCUAUCUGCCGUGGGCGCUGGAGAAUUGAGGGGGGCUGCUCCUAGUACGAGAGGACCGGAGUGGACGCAUCACUGGUGUUCGGGUUGUCAUGCCAAUGGCACUGCCCGGUAGCUAAAUGCGGAAGAGAUAAGUGCUGAAAGCAUCUAAGCACGAAACUUGCCCCGAGAUGAGUUCUCCCUGAGACCUUGAGUCUCCUGAAGGAACGUUGAAGACGACGACGUUGAUAGGUCGGGUGUGUAAGCGCAGCGAUGCGUUGAGCUAACCGAUACUAAUGAACCGUGAGGCUUAACCUU
Molecule: ribosomal RNA, 2903 nt
Filed under: Enterobacter hormaechei
Lineage: Bacteria; Pseudomonadati; Pseudomonadota; Gammaproteobacteria; Enterobacterales; Enterobacteriaceae
Also listed under: 1 other name
Description: 23S ribosomal RNA
Rfam family: Bacterial large subunit ribosomal RNA
Source: RNAcentral